This 406-nucleotide ribosomal RNA is filed under the name Lactiplantibacillus pentosus. Its description in RNAcentral is "bacterial SSU rRNA". It matches the Rfam family "Bacterial small subunit ribosomal RNA", at positions 987 to 1393 of the family's 1533-position model. The record is from RNAcentral. Lineage: Bacteria; Bacillati; Bacillota; Bacilli; Lactobacillales; Lactobacillaceae.
AAUCAAUGCAAAUCUAAGAGAUUAGACGUUCCCUUCGGGGACAUGGAUACAGGUGGUGCAUGGUUGUCGUCAGCUCGUGUCGUGAGAUGUUGGGUUAAGUCCCGCAACGAGCGCAACCCUUAUUAUCAGUUGCCAGCAUUAAGUUGGGCACUCUGGUGAGACUGCCGGUGACAAACCGGAGGAAGGUGGGGAUGACGUCAAAUCAUCAUGCCCCUUAUGACCUGGGCUACACACGUGCUACAAUGGAUGGUACAACGAGUUGCGAACUCGCGAGAGUAAGCUAAUCUCUUAAAGCCAUUCUCAGUUCGGAUUGUAGGCUGCAACUCGCCUACAUGAAGUCGGAAUCGCUAGUAAUCGCGGAUCAGCAUGCCGCGGUGAAUACGUUCCCGGGUCUGUAACACACCGA